RNAcentral lists this ribosomal RNA (327 nucleotides) under uncultured eukaryote. RNAcentral's name for it is "partial 18S ribosomal RNA". It matches the Rfam family "Eukaryotic small subunit ribosomal RNA", at positions 1470 to 1796 of the family's 1831-position model. The record is from RNAcentral.
CCCUUAGAUGUUCUGGGCCGCACGCGCGCUACACUGACGGAUUCAACGAGCUUACAACCUUGGCCGAAAGGUCUGGGUAAUCUCCAAAAUCCGUCGUGAUGGGGAUAGAUUAUUGCAAUUAUUAAUCUUCAACGAGGAAUGCCUAGUAAGCGCAAGUCAUCAGCUUGCGUUGAUUACGUCCCUGCCCUUUGUACACACCGCCCGUCGCUCCUACCGAUUGAAUGGUCCGGUGAAACGUUUGGACUAUGGUUUUCUGAUGGUCCGCCGUUGGAUUACCGUGGGAAGUUCGUUAAACCUUAUCAUUUAGAGGAAGGAGAAGUCGUAACA